GGAAACGUCGGUGAUUGUUACGAAUCAUAAAUAAUCAAGAGUACUGAAGUUGCUGACAACUUUUUGCGAUCAACGAUAGGUACUCCGGUUUCGUCGAUGCAGUGAUGUUUGUGUUCAUCUUUCCUCUUCGGAUUCCCUCUCUAUAUCCAACGUACGACAAAUCACAAAGACAUUGCAACCUUAAUAAAACUCAACAUCCGUAAUCUUCAUCCUUCAACGG
This 220-nucleotide long non-coding RNA is filed under the name Vigna radiata. RNAcentral's name for it is "long non-coding RNA (VRAD_LNC009943)". The record is from RNAcentral. Lineage: Eukaryota; Viridiplantae; Streptophyta; Magnoliopsida; Fabales; Fabaceae.